CGCCGUCAGGCGGCGACGUACUCUGAACAGCUGCUUGAAUGAAUGGAAAAGGAGGAGGCAAAUAAGAAAAAUACUACGCGUGGUUGAAGAAGAAGCACCCAAACAAAAAAAUUAUCAAUGGAGACAACGAGGUUCUGGUGGCCAAUAAAGGAGAGUUUAAACAAGGGGUCAUGUUGGCUGCAUUGGGCCUAAAAAAAACUUGAUGGAAAAAUGUGGAAAUUAUUUUAAUUUUAUAUAAAAAUUUCUAAUAAUUUCGUUUUAAAUUUACAGGUUUUGUUCCCGAUGGACCGGUGGACUAAGGAUUAAGGUGGUUCCGGAAAUUUAAGCUAAUAAAAUUCAAUUGGACCUGGGAUUUGGCCUUGGUUUACUGCUUCCGUUCAGAAAAGGUUAUAAAUUCAGAUGGAACCUGGACCGGAAGACUACCGAUGAAAUUAUUUGGAUCAAAUUAUAUUUCAAAAAGGUUUUAAGUUCCUGAAGAAAAUCAACAGCAUUAACUGUAAGAUAGAGAGAAAAAUAUCUCCAAUCAAUGAAAUUUUAAUCGGUUCAUAAUUUCGCUUUGGCAAAUGCUUUUCUGCGGCAACUAGCUGGUUUACAUAAGGCAAUUAUAGAGCGGGAAGAGGCGGAUGAGGCUUUCCUGUCCGUAUUAGUGUCCGUUCGGGUAAAUCGGGGAAACUACCUUUAUAAUAUUACAGGAAACCUAGGACUCAAACACCUUAAACUACUAUAAUUCUAGGCCAGAGCUC
This is a long non-coding RNA of Lucilia sericata (common green bottle fly), 743 nucleotides long. RefSeq lists it as uncharacterized. The record is from RefSeq and is a predicted model, not a curated record. NCBI's taxonomy places the organism in Eukaryota, Metazoa, Arthropoda, Insecta, Diptera, Calliphoridae. The transcript is spliced from 8 exons.